UACGUAGGGGGCAAGCGUUGUCCGGAUUUAUUGGGCGUAAAGAGCGUGUAGGCGGCCGUGUAGGUCCGUUGUGAAAACUCGAGGCUCAACCUCGAGACGUCGAUGGAAACCACACGGCUAGAGUCCGGAAGAGGAGAGUGGAAUUCCUGGUGUAGCGGUGAAAUGCGCAGAUAUCAGGAAGAACACCUAUGGCGAAGGCAGCUCUCUGGGACGGUACUGACUCUGAGACGCGAAAUCGUGGGGAGCUAACAGG
RNAcentral lists this ribosomal RNA (253 nucleotides) under uncultured bacterium. Its description in RNAcentral is "partial 16S ribosomal RNA". It matches the Rfam family "Bacterial small subunit ribosomal RNA", at positions 524 to 776 of the family's 1533-position model. The record is from RNAcentral.